This 274-nucleotide ribosomal RNA is filed under the name uncultured bacterium. Its description in RNAcentral is "partial 16S ribosomal RNA". It matches the Rfam family "Bacterial small subunit ribosomal RNA", at positions 523 to 796 of the family's 1533-position model. The record is from RNAcentral.
AUACGUAGGAACCAAGCGUUGUCCGGAUUUACUGGGUGUAAAGGGUGCGCAGGCGGAUUUGCGCGUCAGGGGUUAAAGACCUCGGCUUAACCGAGGAAAUGCCUUUGAUACGGCAAGUCUUGAGUACGAGAGAGGAUGGUAGAAUUCCUGGUGUAGCGGUGAAAUGCGUAAAUAUCAGGAGGAAUACCCGUGGCGAAGGCGGCCAUCUGGCUCGUUACUGACGCUCAGGCACGAAAGCGUGGGGAGCAAACAGGAUUAGAAACCCCAGUAGUCC